RNAcentral lists this microRNA precursor (84 nucleotides) under Aedes aegypti (yellow fever mosquito). RNAcentral describes it as "microRNA aae-mir-1175 precursor". The stretch from base 7 to 78 matches the Rfam family "mir-1175 microRNA precursor family". Lineage: Eukaryota; Metazoa; Arthropoda; Insecta; Diptera; Culicidae. The record is from miRBase by way of RNAcentral.
ACGAUAUGAAAUAAGUGGAGUAGUGGUCUCAUCGCUUAGUAUUAGAAAAGUGAGAUUCUACUUCUCCGACUUAAUUCAUAUCUA